RNAcentral lists this ribosomal RNA (716 nucleotides) under uncultured bacterium. Its description in RNAcentral is "bacterial SSU rRNA". It matches the Rfam family "Bacterial small subunit ribosomal RNA", at positions 28 to 755 of the family's 1533-position model. The record is from RNAcentral.
GACGAACGCUGGCGGCGUGCCUAACACAUGCAAGUCGAACGGGGUCCAUGGGAGCUUGCUCCCAGAAGACCUAGUGGCGAACGGGUGAGUAACACGUGAGAAACCUGCCCCGGAGUGGGGAAUAACUCGAGGAAACUCGAGCUAAUACCGCAUACCCUCAGAUGGUCGCAUGGCCGACUGAGGAAAGAAUUUCGCUCUGGGAGGGUCUCGCGGCCUAUCAGCUAGUUGGUGGGGUAACGGCCUACCAAGGCAGCGACGGGUAGCUGGUUUGAGAGAACGAUCAGCCACACUGGGACUGAGACACGGCCCAGACUCCUACGGGAGGCAGCAGUGGGGAAUCUUGCGCAAUGGGCGAAAGCCUGACGCAGCAACGCCGCGUGCGGGAUGACGGCCUUCGUGGUUGUAAACCGCUUUCAGCAGGGACGAAAAUGACGGUACCUGCAGAAGAAGCUCCGGCUAACUACGUGCCAGCAGCCGCGGUAAUACGUAGGGGGCAAGCGUUGUCCGGAUUCAUUGGGCGUAAAGAGCUCGUAGGCGGUUCAGUAAGUCAGGUGUGAAAGCUCCGAGCUCAACUCGGAGAGGCCACUUGAUACUGCUGUGACUAGAAUCCAGUAGGGGAGCGUGGAAUUCCUGGUGUAGCGGUGAAAUGCGCAGAUAUCAGGAGGAACACCAGCGGCGAAGGCGGCGCUCUGGGCUGGAAUUGACGCUGAGGAGCG